CCUUGUGUUAAAAUUUCAUAGAUUUCUAUUUACGUAUACUAAAGUUAUUGUGCAAAAACCAAGAAAAAUGCUUAUUUGGGACCUGUUUUUGGCACCUAAUGCCUAAACUGUUGGGACUAAUACUCCCAAAAUCAAUCCCAACCUUCCUUUAGGGUCAUAGACCUUAUGUUGAAAUAGAUUUCUGUUUACUUAUACUAAAGUUAUUGUGCGAAAACCAAGAAAAAUGCUUACUUGGACCCUUUUUGGCCCCUAAUUCCUAAACUGUUGGGACCAAAACUCCCAAAAUCAAUCCCAACA
RNAcentral lists this long non-coding RNA (297 nucleotides) under Mytilus galloprovincialis (Mediterranean mussel). Lineage: Eukaryota; Metazoa; Mollusca; Bivalvia; Mytilida; Mytilidae. The record is from RNAcentral.